CAGCAGCCGCGGUAAUACGGAGGGUGCAAGCGUUAAUCGGAAUUACUGGGCGUAAAGCGUGCGUAGGCGGUUCGUUAAGUCAGAUGUGAAAGCCCUGGGCUCAACCUGGGAACUGCAUUUGAAACUGGCGGACUAGAGUUUAGUAGAGGGGAGUGGAAUUUCAGGUGUAGCGGUGAAAUGCGUAGAUAUCUGAAGGAACACCAGUGGCGAAGGCGACUCCCUGGACUAGAACUGACGCUGAGGUACGAAAGCGUGGGUAGCAAACAGGAUUAGAUACCCUGGUAGUCCACGCCGUAAACGAUGUCGACUAGCCAUUGGUCCUAUUUACAGGAUUAGUGGCGCAGCUAACGCAUUAAGUCGACCGCCUGGGGAGUACGGCCGCAAGGUUAAAACUUAAAGGAAUUGACGG
RNAcentral lists this ribosomal RNA (409 nucleotides) under uncultured bacterium. RNAcentral describes it as "bacterial SSU rRNA". It matches the Rfam family "Bacterial small subunit ribosomal RNA", at positions 509 to 916 of the family's 1533-position model. The record is from RNAcentral.